This 28-nucleotide non-coding RNA is filed under the name Mus musculus (house mouse). Lineage: Eukaryota; Metazoa; Chordata; Mammalia; Rodentia; Muridae. The record is from RNAcentral.
UNGCAGAGACUUGGCCGGACACUAUUGA